Molecule: long non-coding RNA, 1591 nt
Filed under: Phoenix dactylifera (date palm)
Lineage: Eukaryota; Viridiplantae; Streptophyta; Magnoliopsida; Arecales; Arecaceae
Description: long non-coding RNA (PDAC_LNC005209)
Source: RNAcentral
GAUUAACAUCUUCUGGAGCUUUUCUUGAGCGAACACAUUUCUAUGGAAAAAUAGAACAUCGUAUAGUAGUGCGCCGUCUGGAGAAAAUGAAAAAGAGAAUCGACAGUUGGAAAAGCAAAUUGUUGUCCUCCAGAGGUCGACAACNNNNNNNNNNNNNNNNNNNNNNNNNNNNNNNNNNNNNNNNNNNNNNNNNNNNNNNNNUUUAAAAAAUGGAAUAAUAAAAAAAAAAACAAAGAAAAAAGAAAAAAGGAAACAUGUUGAUUAUAUUUAAUACUUCUUUAAUGCUUAAGAGUCUUUUUAGAAAAAAAAUAAAAAUUGAGUGAUUUCUGCCUCAUAGGAAAAUAACUUUCUCAUGUUUCCCAUAGAAAAGACUUUCUUAUAAAAUAUGGGAAUCAUAUUCCUAUAGGAAUACAACUUUUCCAUCUUCAUACUUUAAAAACUCCAACCAAACAAGAGACAUCUAAUUACUUUUCCGUUGACCACACUUUCCCCCAUUCUUUUUCCGCGAACCAAACGAGCCCUAAUAGGGAACGAAAGAGGUGGUAAAAUCAACAACAGAUCUUGCCCUUAUUUUUUGGAAAAAAAGUAAAAUAAAUUGCACAAAAAAAUGAUAUUUUUCCAAGCUAAAUUAAUAAAUGUAAGUAAUUUGAAAUUAUCUCGAUAUGAUGAAAAUAUGUCUACUUAUAUAAUAUAAUUAUAUUAAUAUAUUAUAAAUAUACUAAUAUAUUAUGUUAAUAUUUACUAUAAACUUAAUAUUAGUAUAUUUUUAUUAUAUAUUAAUUACACUAAAUAUAAAAAUAUAUUUAUAAACUAUAGUAUCUUAAUCAAUAUAUUAGUAAUUAACAUAUUAAUAAAUGUUACUUAUAAACAAUAAUAUAAUUAAUAUAUUAAUAUAUGUAUUGAUAAAUAUUAUUUUUAAUAAAUAUUUAAUCGAUAUUCAUUAAUAAUUAUUAAUCAAUGUGGCUUGGGUUUAUUAAUAAGUAAAGUAUUUACAUAAUACUAAUAUAUUUCUUAAACUGUUAAUUAAUAUAUUUAUUAAUAUAUCAAAAAUAUAUUAAAUUUACCUAUAAUAAAAAAUUAUAUAAUAUAUAAUUUAUUUAAAAAUAUUUAUUAGUUUAUAUAAAUAUAUUUUGAUAUUUGAAAUGAUUAUUAUUAAUAAUUUUUCUGUAAGUGGGCCACAGACUAAGAACAAAUGGACUAAAUAAAAAAAUUAAUACUCAAAUAAUUUAUUGAUAGCCUUUAUGUAAAUAGGGUAUAAAGCCAACAAAUGAAUUGUAUCAAAAACAAUACAUAUAUUACUUAAAUUAUCUAUUCAAUAGUAUUAUUAAAAAGUUGACAAUAUGCCCACAUAAAAUUAUUCAAAACAAAACAUAAUAUUUUUUUUGAUGUUAAUUUUUAAAAUAAUUUUUCUACCAAUCAAAUACAGUAAAAUAUUUUUCCCUCCACAACUAUUUUCUAGAUAAAUAAUUUUUAAAAAUCGUUAGAUUACCCAGCUCAAACAAACUGAAAAAGGCUAUAAUUUUUUUGAAUAAAAAUAAGAUUCACAUCUUAUGAAAAGAAAGAUAUAUUGAGAUAUUAAAAAAAAAAUUAA